UGACAGAAAAAAAGAAAGCCUACCUUUGA
This 29-nucleotide non-coding RNA is filed under the name Mus musculus (house mouse). Lineage: Eukaryota; Metazoa; Chordata; Mammalia; Rodentia; Muridae. The record is from RNAcentral.